AACAACAAACACAAAACAUGACACGGAGGAAACAAUGGAUUUCCUACCGUGACAACCAUUGGUCAAACUGCAUCUCAACCUUCUCAAACCUCCCCACCCCACAAUCUGUCUCCUAUUCGUCUGCCUCCUGCCCACACAGUCCUCUUUUUGGAAAAAUAAAAUGUAAAACUUUUGUGGACAAACAGUUUUUCACUGGAUGCUUUCUUUAACAACUUAAACAAGUGCGACGGGUUGGAUUCAUUUUGAUUUUUCAUAGUAAAGGACAGCGCGGCUCAGAUCGGGUGAUGGACUCGAGGUCUCUGCUGACACUGUCAGAUCCCUAAAACCUGUUCAGUUCUGUGGUCAAUGGGGAUAAAAACCCAGGUUUUCAAUGAGGUCUCA
Long non-coding RNA from Cyprinus carpio carpio, 381 nucleotides. Lineage: Eukaryota; Metazoa; Chordata; Actinopteri; Cypriniformes; Cyprinidae. The record is from Ensembl.